GCUUCCGUGGUGUAGUUGGUUAUCACGUAUGCUUCACACGCAUAAGGUCUCCGGUUCGAUCCCGGACGGAAGCA
Molecule: transfer RNA, 74 nt
Filed under: Microbotryum lychnidis-dioicae p1A1 Lamole
Lineage: Eukaryota; Fungi; Basidiomycota; Microbotryomycetes; Microbotryales; Microbotryaceae
Description: tRNA-Val (CAC) (tRNA-Val-CAC-1-1)
Source: RNAcentral